UACAGAGGGUGCGAGCGUUAAUCGGAAUUACUGGGCGUAAAGGGCGCGUAGGCGGUUCGUUAAGUCCUGUGUGAAAUCCCCCGGCUCAACUGGGGAACUGCACAGGAAACUAGCGGGCUUGAGUUCGGGAGAGGGAAGCGGAAUUCCGGGUGUAGCGGUGAAAUGCGUAGAUAUCUGGAGGAACACCGGUGGCGAAGGCGGCAUCCUGGACCAACACUGACACUGAGGAGCGAAAGCCAGGGGAGCAAACGGG
This 253-nucleotide ribosomal RNA is filed under the name uncultured bacterium. RNAcentral describes it as "partial 16S ribosomal RNA". It matches the Rfam family "Bacterial small subunit ribosomal RNA", at positions 524 to 776 of the family's 1533-position model. The record is from RNAcentral.